GUAAUGCAUUGGGAGAUCUGCCCUACGGAGAUGGAUAGCUACGGGAAACCGUAGAUAAUACGUCGUAAGCAGUACGCUAGAAAGAGUGUACUGGAAAGGCUGGGACCGAAGGCCAGUCGCCGAAGGAUGAGCCCAUGUCCCAUUAGCUAGUUGGUAGGGUAAAAGCCAACCAAGGGGAAGAUGGGUAACUUGGUCUUGAGAGGAUUGAUCAGGUCACACUUGGAACUGAGACACGGGUCCAGACUCCUACGGGAGGCAGCAGUGGGGAAUAUUGCGCAAUGGACGAAAGUCUGACGCAGCAACGCCGCGUGAGUGAAGAAGGCCUUUGGGUUGUAAAGCUCUUUCGGCUUGGGAAGAAGGGUGAGGGUGUUAAUAGCAUCUUCAUUUGAUGGUACCAGAAGAGGAAGCACCGGCUAACUUCGUGCCAGCAGCCGCGGUAAUACGAAGGGUGCGAGCGUUGUUCGGAAUUACUGGGCGUAAAGGGUUUGUAGGCUGAAAUGUAAGUCAAGUGUGAAAUCCCCGAGCUAAAUUGGGACGUGCAUUUGAAACUGUGUCCUUGAGUAUCGUAGAGGGUGGUGGAAUUGUAGG
RNAcentral lists this ribosomal RNA (588 nucleotides) under uncultured bacterium. Its description in RNAcentral is "bacterial SSU rRNA". It matches the Rfam family "Bacterial small subunit ribosomal RNA", at positions 110 to 673 of the family's 1533-position model. The record is from RNAcentral.